This 274-nucleotide ribosomal RNA is filed under the name uncultured bacterium. RNAcentral describes it as "partial 16S ribosomal RNA". It matches the Rfam family "Bacterial small subunit ribosomal RNA", at positions 523 to 796 of the family's 1533-position model. The record is from RNAcentral.
AUACGGAGGGUGCAAGCGUUACUCGGAAUCACUGGGCGUAAAGCGCGCGCAGGCGGCCAUGUAAGUUGGAUGUGAAAGCCUACGGCUCAACCGUAGAACUGCAUCCAAAACUAUUUGGCUAGAGUGUGGGAGAGGAAGAUGGAAUUAGUUGUGUAGGGGUAAAAUCCGUAGAGAUAACUAGGAAUACCAAAAGCGAAGGCAAUCUUCUGGAACACUACUGACGCUGAGGCGCGAAAGCGUGGGGAGCAAACGGGAUUAGAAACCCUAGUAGUCC